GUAACAGUUUUCAGUUCUUUUAGGUAUAUGUAUAUAUAUGAGAGGAAUCACUGAAUCAUACAGUAGUUUUUUUUUUUUUUUUUGGUACAGGGUCUUUCUCUGUCAUCCAGGCUGGAGUGCAGCGGUGUGAUCAUGGCUCACUGCAGCCUCGACCUCCCAGGCUCAAACAAUCCUCCCACCUCAGCCUCCUGAGUAGGUAGAACUAUAGGCAUGUGCCACCACAUCCGGCUAAUUCUGUUUAUAUUUUGUAGAGAUGAGGUCUCCCUAUGUUGCUCAGGAUUAUCUCAAAUUCUUGAACUCAAGCCAUCCUUUUGCCUCAGCUUCCUAACAUGCUGGGAUUGCAGGCAUGGGCUACUGCACCCAGCCUCAUGUAGUAAUUUUAUGAUUAACUUUUUGAGGAACCACUGCGCCAUUUUCCGCAGUGGCUGAGCCAUUUUACAUUCCCACCAGCAAUGUAUGAGAGUUCUAAUUUUUUCACAUCUAAUUUUUUCACAUCCUUGCCAAUUCUUAUUAUUAUUUUAAAAAAUUAUUACAGCCAUCCUAGUGGGUGUGGAGUGGCAUCUCCUUGUGGUUUGAUUUGCAUUUCUGUAACGAUUAAUGCGGUUGAUCAUCUUUUCCGGUGUUUGUUGGCCAUUUGUGUAUCUUUUUGGAGGAAUGUCUAUUCAAGUCCUUUGCCCAUUUGUUGUUGAGUUUUAAGAGUUCUUUAUAUGUUCUGGAUAUUAGACCUGGUUUUGACUUCUGUCUUUCUCUAUGUUCCCAUCUAACUGUUUAUGGGAAAGAUGAGCUUCAUGUGGGCUGAUUUGGAGUUGGAUGUUAAGACUGAACUGGGGGCAAGUGAGAAAAAUGUCUGCAGAACUGUUCUCCAGCUCUCUGUGCUUGGCUCUGUUCUAUUUAGCAUUUUUACCAAUGACUCAAAGGUAGACACAACUAAAAUUUGGAUAAUGUUAAGUUUCUGCUUAUCAGCUGGAAACACUGAUGAGUGCCCAUGAAGAAAUUUUCAUAGAGGAUUAGUUCUUUGCUGAACAGAGCCUCAGUGACUUAAGGAUCUCACAAUCUGGGGAUCUCAAAUGUAAAAUGGCCACCAGAGGAAGGGAGGUACCUGAUGUUCUGCAGGAUGGCAUCUUCACUUAGGGGAGGGGUGUACUCACUAUUACAGGUGAUGUAUGUGUGAGAGAAUCAGAAGUGGAGGAGGGCUUAAGCCCAUUUUUAGGAAUUAAAGCCAGUGAGGUGUUCCAUGGAGGGUAUCUAGUGAUCAUCUCAGAGAGGGCUUUAACUGUGAACAAAGGGCCAGACUUUAUGGACUUUGUAGAAUUCUAAGACUAAUGUGAUUUCCUCAUAUUAAUUACGCUAUUACUCCAUGUAGAAUUUCUCUCAGUAAUCAUUAGCAAAACUCUUAAAAUGCAAAGGACCUGUACUUGUCUUUGGGGGUAUGGAGGAAAGGAAUAGCUGUAGAGGCCAGAUCUCCAACCAUAACAGGCUGUGGGGGAUCCUGAAGGGAUACAGUGAAUGUUGGGGCUACUGUGGGGGAGUAUGUUUUGCCUCCUUAUCACUAGAUGGUCUGAUGCAAGGAGAGGAACAGCCAAUACUUAGGUGUUUGAGUCAGAUUCCAAGAUGACUUCGAUGGGUUGAAACAACUGGUUGAAAUUAAGAAAGAAAAGUAAAGAAGUUGAAGGGAUGAGCAGAAUAAAUAUAAACUCCCACAGUUGGGUAAAACUCAAUUGCAUACUUACAGGAUGAAGGAGAACAGGCUUGAAAAAUUUUCCAUGAAGAGGACUCCGGGUUUUGGUUGUUGGCAUGUCAAGGUUGUAAAAAUUUGACUGCAAUGGAGAGUACGUUGUCCAGAUCAUGGGAAGCCAGGAUCCUAGUCCUUUCUGGGCUUGAGUUGAUUUCACAUGGAAUUAUAUAUCCACUGCUUGGGGCCAGCAUGUGAAGGGGCCUAUUAGUCAUGGGGCACUAGAGAGUUUUCAGAGCAAGGUGACAAGGACAGCAAGAGCCUGGAAGCCAUAUAUUACAAGGAAACAGAACCCAGGCUAACAGGUGUAGGUCACAGAGGGAGACGUUUGGAACUAAGACAAGGCAACCCUACCUCAUAGACUGGAAUUUCUACAACAGGAGAGGAGGGCUUAAGAGGGAGUGGUCCUGCCCUCUUGGGAUCAUUCAUGUAGAGGAUGACUUUUUGCUUGGAAUGAUGGUUCAGCAGGAUUUCCUGUACUGGGUGAGAUGUUAGACUAAAUGACAUAGAUAGUUCUUCCCAAUUUUAAGAGUAUGAAUUUUACAUAGACUGUUUAUUACAUAGACUGUGUCAUUUGUGUUGUUUGGUUCAUGAUUCAGGAGACUAGACAACGCUUGCCACAUGGGAUGUGAUAAGCCACAGGCAUGCCCAGGGCAGCAGACUCUGGCUGUGUCCUGCGGUGCCCCAUCAGCACUCACCAAUGCUGCAUGGUCCAGCAUCUGACUGCAGGCAAUGUCCAGCAUCUGACUGCAGGCAACGAUGACGCUUUGCCAAGGGCUCUGCUCAGGCCAGGUGCAGGCCAGGCUGCAGUGCUUGGAAGUCAAUGCCACCAGGAGCAGCUCUUGGUUGAUGACAAAAAGAAAUGGGUGAAUAAAGAACUCAGUUUAGGCCAGGUGCAGUGGCUCACGCCUGUAAUCUCAGCACUUGGGGAGGCCGAGGCGGGCGGAUCAUGAGGUCAAGAGAUGGAGACCAUCCUGGCCAACAUGGUGAAACCCCGUCUCUACUAAAAAUACAAAAAAUAAGCUGGGUGUGGUGGUGUGCACCUGUAGUCCCAGCUACUCGGGAGGCUGAGGCAGGAGAAUCGCUUGAACCUAGGAGGCGGAGGUUGCAGUCAGCUGAGAUUGUGCCACUACACUCCAGCCUGGCAGAGUGAGACUCCAUCUCAAAAAAAAAAACAAAACAAAACAAAACACAACAGAAAAAAACAAAUAAACAAAAAACAAAAACAAACAAAAAAGAACCCAGCUUCCUAACCCUGGUAGUAGUUAUGGGAGGGGGUGCUACAUAGCUACAUCUCAGCUUCCCAGGUGGUCACCUGCUCAUGAAGUCACUUGGGGGAAGUAUGGGCUUCUGUCCCUUCCCUGACUCACUUUCCCAUUCUCUAGAACACUUUCUAGAUCAUCUCCCAAACAGACCUCCUGUUCUCAAAUCCUUAUCUUCAAAUAAGCUUCUGGGAGGAACCCAGGCUAGGAUACAACAGAAGGUUUUCAGGGGAAAUAAAUCCUUCCCUGACAAGAUAUGAUGUGAGCUAGGGGUUUCCUAUAGGCAACACCCCUCCUUCCAAUACAGAAAAUCUCAGCAUGAUAGUCCCAUCUUCAUUUCAAGAAUUCUAAAAUAGGCUCCUGCCUUUCCUAGCCAUAUGUAAAGUUUUGCUCUCAAUGCUACAUGAAGAAAAAAUCUCCUUAUCACAAGGAGUCAUGUGCUUAUUGGCAUUUGUCUAUGAAAUGCGUAUAGAAUUUCAAUGGUUGUAGAGCUGGUUGUGGGGAAAAUGAGAUGUUCUGGGAUUCCAGAACUGAUUUUAUUUUUUUCACUCCAAGCACCUAGUUGAUGAAGUGCAGGUGGCUUUUUUUCUUCCAGUUCAAGUUUUCUUAGCCUAUCCAUUUAUUGGGGAAAGGGGAGGUAUAUUUGGAGUUGUUAGCUUGGUCAUAGCCCUCUGUUCCCCUUCAGCCCCAUGGACAAAUGAACCAAGGCCUGCUGAUGCAACUGGCUUUAUGGUGGAACAUGGGGUUGUGUGUUCUUUGUCCUGCCUGCUCUGGGGGCUCACCACAGCUGUGAGUCCCAGGUCAGUCUUGAGCUCUUUCUCAGUGCCCCAGUGUUGGCAAUACCCUGAACCGUUGGCUGCCUGCUAUCUUUGGCACUUUGCAUUUCUCUGAUAGUCACAUCUUUACACCCCAUGAGUCCCCCACUGUCACCUACUGUAUUGGUCAGGGUUCUCCAGAGAGACAGAACCAGUAGGAGAAUUGGUUCAUGUGAUUACAAGGCGAAGUCCCACGAUAGUCUGUCUGCAAGCUGGGGAAAGAAAAGCCAGUAGCGAGGCUCAGUCCAAGUCCAAAAACCAGAGAAGCCCACAGUGCAGCCCCCAGUCUGAGUCUGAAGUCCCAAGACCCCUGGGAUGCUGCUGGUGCACGUUCCAGAAUCUAAAGACCAAAGGAUCUGGAGUCUGAUGUCCAGGGGCAGGAGGAGAGGAAGCAAGUAUCCAGCACAGCAUGGGAAGAGAUACAGCAGAGAGCAAGCAGACUCAGCAAGCAAGCUGCUUAUCCCCCUUCUUCUGCCUGCUUUGUUCUAGCCACGCUGGCCGCCGAUUGCAUAGUGCCCACCCACAUUGAGGGUGGGCCUUCCUCUUCCAGUCCACUGACUCAUGUGUCAUCUCCUCUGGCAACACUCUCACAGACACACCCAGAAACAACACUUUACCAGCUACCUAGGCAUCCUUCAAUCCAGUCAAGUUGACAUCUACCAUUCACCAUCACAGCUACCCUCUGAGUUCCUGACUUGGGGAUGCCGAGAUGUUUGGGUUCAUCCUCCGUUUCCUCUUCGGCUCCCUCUCAGGCGUAGACAUAUACCUCACUGAUCCAUCCAUACUCCCAGGGUCUGGGUGUGAAAGAAACAUCUGUGGGUUUCCAACUUCAAAACUCCAGCCAGCAAACAGCAUAUAGGUCUCCGAUUUUUUCAAAUCCCACCUCCCCACCUCAAUUUCAGAGGGAACUCACCUAUUUCUUUUCGCUCCCUCUUCCUGUCCUGUAAGCAGGGCAGUAGAUGACUUAGCUAUGCUGUGUCAGAUUCACUUCUUUCCCUCCAACUCUUCUCCCUUCUAUUAACGUGGAACCUUUUUACACAGAACAAGGCAAGAGAGGUGGGCAUGAGGGCUAAUCAGUCCCGCCUGAACCCAUCAACUUUCACAUCUCACAUCCCUUGUCUCUAGCUCAGAAGCUGAGAAAUGGGUGCCUUGGGUCCCAGCAAUUCACACUUUGGAGCAAAUGGUGACUGCAGUUCACAUGUCUAAAUGGGGGUGGCCUGUGUGUGUGUGAGGGGGCAGAGCAGUCUGUCCUGUCUGAUGUCCCAGGCUUUUUCUCCAUGUAAAUCAUCCCCUAGCCCUAGGUGGCUUGAAACAGCAGGUAUGAACAGAUGGCAGUGGCUUCUCAGCAUCCUGUGUUCCUGGGGUGAGUCCAGCCACAGAGAGAGAGGGGAUUCACAGUAGCCACCAGGUGAACAGUGCCAUCAAAACUCUGAACUGUGUCUCAGCAAUGGCCUGGGGGCCCAGCCGAGAGGAGAUGUUCACCAGGAAACUUGCCCAGCGUGGAACUCAGUGGCCUCCACCUCAGUAAUCGAAAGCACAUUCUAAAUACAUCUCUCAGUGACUCCUGCCUCGUGGUUGUUUGGUGCAUGAUUGGACAGAUGGAGAGGUGGGCUCCCCAGUGGGUCUGGAGCGUGGGCUUCAGAGAGUGCUAAUGUUUCUCAGAUCUCCUCUGCAAAGUGCCAACUGUGGAAACACUGAAGCUCAGGCCAGGAAAUGGAAACACACUGCCAGGUGGCAGGAUGGGCUGCUUCUUAAUUAAGGAGCCUCCCCAGCUCGCGGGUGACGGGUGUGGUUUGUAAAUAGUUUAUGCACCUGUUACAUCCACGUGUUGCGGGACUGCUCCUGGGCUUUGUCCAAGUGGGGUCCAGGCCUCCUUCGCCAGAACAAUAGUAGAAAUAAUAUGUGGUCUUUAUGGAACAUUUAUAGUCUACCAAGCUUUGUGCAGUGUGAGCCCCUUUACCUGCAUUAUCUCAUCGAAUCCUCCUAGCAACCCUAGAGGUAGAUGUGUUAUUAAGCUCAUUUUAUAUGUGGGAAGCUGACAGCAAAAGGUUAAGCAAACAGCUCAAGCUCACAGAGCUGGUGGGAGAGUGAGUCAGAACUCAAACUUGUAAUUAGACAAACCUGAAUUUGGAGCCUCAGUUCAUCAUGUGUGAAACAGGGUAAUUCUAUCUACCUCACAGGAUACUGUAGGGAUGAAAGAAAAGUAUGUGGACAAAAAUCUACCAGCUUGGAAUGUGUCAUUGAGUGACAAUUUGGUAAAUGUUUGAAUGCCUAUUGUGAAGGCUAAUUUUAUGUGUCAACUUCACUAGGACAUGGUGCCCAUAUAUUUGAUCAAAUACUAUUGCAUGUGUUCCUGAAAAGGUAUUAACACUUAAAUCAGUAGACAUGGAGUAAAGCAGAUCGACUACCCUCCAUAAUGUGGGUGGGCCUUAUCCAAUCAGGUGAAGACCUUAAUAGAAAAAGAGCGACCUUUUUCUGUUAAGAAUAGAAAGCACUAUGCUGGAAUAAGAGUGAAUUCUUCCAGCACAAUAGUACCAUAGUGCCUUUGGACCAGAACUGCAGCUCUUCCAGCACAGUAGUGCCUUUGGACCAGAACUCCAGGCUCUCUGUGUACCCUGAAGAUUUGCAGCUUAUCAAGUAUCUACAAUCAUGUGAGCCAACUCCUCAAAAAU
Molecule: long non-coding RNA, 6481 nt
Filed under: Homo sapiens (human)
Lineage: Eukaryota; Metazoa; Chordata; Mammalia; Primates; Hominidae
Description: HSALNT0236517
Source: RNAcentral